UUUUUUUUUUUUUUUUUUUUUAAGCUGAGCAUUAAAACAAUGUUGGAGUUCCCACUGCGGUGCAGCUGAAAUGAAUCCGACUUGUAACCAUUAGGUUGCGGGUUCCAUCCCUGGCCUCUUUCAGAGGGUCAGGGAUCCUGCAUUGCUGUGAGCUGUGGUAUAGGCAGGCAGCUACAGCUCUGAUUUAGUCCCUAGACUGGGAAUUUCCAUAUGCCAUGGUUGCGGCCCUUAAAAGAUAAAACAAACAAACAAAAAAUAGUAAUAGUCAUUAUCAAGGCAGCAGCAGCAUCACAGCACAAAGGUCUUCUUUCUCCGUAGGAGAAUAAGCAGCUCAGUUUUAGAGAUAUAUAGUAGAUGCUAAUUAAAUAUUUGAUGAAAUGAAUGAACUUUGAAGAUACUGCUAUUAGUGACAAUUGUCCAAAUGAUGCUCUGUUUUUUAUACCCAUAAGUAAAACAAAAAGUUUAAUAUAAUGUUCAUUACUAGUAAAUUCUUACAAGUAGAAUAUUUGAUUUCAACAUAAUUUCAAAACAUUUAAGUUUUACUUCCCUCUAAAUCGUGACCAUGUGAAGACAAAAUAUAAGUGACUGCUUUUUCCCAGAGAUUAGAAUACCAAGGGAAAGUUAAAAAUUGAUAUGAAACCCAUUGAUGAAACAAAAGUAUGUAACAAAUCUUUAAUUUCAUCAGCUCACAUUUGCCUAAAUUUUGGGAAUAGGUGGUUGGAGUUGGAUAACAAAAUUUUGAUUUGAACAUAGUAAAAUUAACUGCAACUUAUUUAAAAGGGUUAAAACCUAGCAUAUGUUUAUUAAUGUUAGACUUCUGGGAUCCCCUACUGUUAGGAGCCACGACACUGUUAUUAUCAAGCAACACAUCUCAGUCCAAAUUAGGUCUUUGGGAGAAAUAGUUGACUUGGUGAUGCUUUAUGGCAUCAUGGGAGUAAACAGCACAUUUUCCCACACCAGCUCAUAGAGCAAACUCUCACAAAAUUCUAUGCCCUUCAAUAGUGUAUUUCACAACUUCUUCAAGCACAGCUUUUUCCAAUAAUAAAUGAUAUUUAUCCCAAAACUGAGAAAGAGCAUUAUCAGAAAAGACACAAGGGGAAGGGUUACAAAUGCAGCAUUAUCUACCCUCCUUCAUUUGAAUUUGAAGGUUCGAAGUUGUUUGUUAUCUGAGUUCUAAAUUCAGCAAUCUUCCUUCCCCAAAUAUCCAAAAAUGUUGACUAUAUGUAGAGUCUAGAAGUAUUAUUUUACUGUAGCCAAAUUAUAGAAGGAUGUUGCAAACAGCUUCACAAAUGUAUGUCACCAAAUAGAAUUAUUCACCAAAAAGGCACUAUUUAUAAAGGAAAACAUUAAAAAAAAAGAAAUAGUAAAAAUGGCAUCUUAAACACAGACUUUAAAACAGUUUAUCACUGUAGCUCCUUGUAUUUGUGUUACCCUUGCCAUAUACAUCCUUUGCAUUAAAAAAUUCACAAAUUAGAGUGAAUGAGUUCUUGGCACACUACUUAAAAAAAAAAAGCUUUCUUGAGACAUAAUUCACAUACCAUAAAAAUCACCACUCUGAAGUACACAGUCAAGUAGUUCUUAGUAUAUUUAUCAAAUUAGGUAACCAUCAUCACAAUAUAAUUUUAAACAUUUUAUCACCCUAGAAGGAAACCCCACAAGCAUUAAAUGCCACUUCACACACCCAUAUGUAGCCCUAACCAACCACUACAUAUUUUUGGUCUCUAUGGAUUUGUCGUAUUUAGACGUAUCCCCUAAAUGAAAUAAUACAAUAUGUAGUCUCCACUCAAUUUUUAUACAAUUUCCCCAUAGUUUUGUCUCUAGUCAACAUAGAUAAAUCUUCCCAGAAUGGUAAAAUCACACAGUAUCAAUCCAUAAAUGUUUUAAAGAUCAAACGCUAGAUAUUGUAAUUUAUUCGUUCUUUCCUUAAUAUUAUUAUUCACUUCGCUCAUUUUCUCCUAAUGCUGAGAUUUCUUAUAUUUAUAAUAUUGGUUUUGGUCACUGGUUUCUUCUUUUCUAAUUCCUUGGAAAUCAUCAGUUAUUUUGCUACAGGAUAAAAUGAAUGUAGUGACUUUCUAAUUCUCCCUUUAACUGUACAUUUGGAAAAUCUGAAGCAAAAACCUAACCCUCAAGAACACAUUAUCCUGGUUUAAUACUCAACAGGUAUGGAGAAAAGAAUAAACUUCAUUUAAAAUAACCACCUGAGGUUUUAUGAAGAGGAAAUUACAAGAAAAAAUGUUUGCGGAAUUAUUUGAAAGAAAUUAAAUGUUUGCAGUAAGAGUUGUUGCAGGUUACAUUUCUUAGGACUUCUACUAAAUUCAAAGAAUGUUUGAAAGGCACAAAUACUUGGCAAAUUUAACUAAAGAGUGACAAAAUAAUUCAAGAACCAGUUUGACCAAUUCCUUUCCUUGCUUAGAUAUUGCCUUCAACUGUGGUCUGGAGUAGCUAUACAUAAGUUAUUUAUUUAUUGCAGUGAAGCUAACUAUUAUGGGAUAGAACACCUUUCAUAAUUUGGCAUCUGAAAACAAAACUAUCUUUAAGACGAUAGAAUCGCUCUGUAUGAGUGGCUCUGCUUUAGAGGACAGAGUUCAAGCUGUGAUGACAAAAUGUGUUAGUCUGAAACUCGCAAUAUUAGCUAAGUAUCAUCUAGUGCUUGAAAAAGACUUGAUAUAUGAGGUAGGAUGUCAGUCUUGCACCCCCUUCCUCACUGGCAUCCCAAAACUAUGUCACCCAUUAUCCUCUAUUCAUUUCUCUAUGGUAAAACUCAAAGUCCUUAACAUCUUGCCCUAAACUUACUCCUCUCCUUCCCACAUGCGCCCCGUCUUCCAGAAACAAAAUGUCAUUCACUGUCCCCAAACAAUUGAAGAUGUCUCAUGCCUUCACAGCUUUCAUUGCAGAUACUGUUUUUCCAAUAACUACUUCUCCCUGCCCACAUAUGCCUGGUAAAUUUGUAUUAAUAUUUUGAGUCAUAAUUCAGAUAUCAUCUUCUCUUUGCAGUGAUUUACUCCCUGCAGUGAUUUACAACCCAUUUACUCCCUUCUCUAAUAUCCUACCCCAUUGGAGUAUUUGUGUCCUUAAAGCGUGCACACACACACACACACACACACACACACACUGCAUCUUGCCUGUUUCUUUACAUGUCUGUAUUCAUGGACAAAUUCACUGGAUUUUUAAGUUCUUUGGUCAUAACAAUUUAUUUCUGACUUUCUAAUAACUUGCAUAGGUCAUGGUAGAUUAACUGUGUUAAAUAUAUGUUUGCUGACUAAGUUAACAAUAAACAAAUGGAUGCUAAUCCUUUCUGAUAAUACUUGAACUAUCCUUGUAUUCACCUUAAAUGUAUCUGCACUAUUUUAAAAAUUAUAAACAUGAAAUCAUUUUUCUGGUUAUUAAUGGUAGAAGAAAAGUUUGUUUAAACCUAUUUUCCUUCUUCAAAAUCUAUUGAGAGCCAGUAUUCCCAAUGAUGGAAGUAUCAGCAACAACCCAAACACACUGCCACUACCUCCGACCACUAUCAGGUGUGAGCUAGAGAAUAGCCUGAGAGCUGAAGUAGCACAACACACACCUGAAAGCAAGAGUCCCCCUGAUGGCAGUUUAUCUCAUUAUCCUUGCAGCAGAGUGAAGAUACCUGAGCUAUAAGACACCCAGUACUAAAUCAGGAGCUAUCUGUGUGGCAGCCUAGUUCCUUCUCCCUAUUUCACAGUGUGUGUGAUGCUGAAGGAGAAACCAUGCUGAAGUUAUUUUUAUGGUCUGUAAGUGAACCUUCUAUGUAGUGGGGAGUACUGCACGUUAAGAGGGGUGAAGGAAGGAAAGGAAGCAGCUAUCACCAGAUCUCAAUUCAAAGUGCUAGGGGUCUCAAGGAGACUGACAAGACCUGUACCAACCCACCACUGCUUAAGUGCUGAUGCUUGAGGGAGUCGGGCUGGGAGUGGGCUUCUGCCAGAAGGAAAUAGCCAGCUUAUGAGUACUCAAGGCAAUACUGAAUGUUGGCACAUUUUCUUACUUGUUCCAUUAUUUGCCUAUUGGGCAGUACUUAACAUAUAGGCUGUGAUUGCUUCAACAUAACUCAUAAGCAAGGGGAUAAAACACAUGGCCUUGGGAUUGGAAACUAUAAAAGAAGAGAAAGACACUUUGAAAGCACACAAAUGGAAGAAUUACUUGUAGGGAUAAAACAAGAUUUCAGACAAAUAGUUGUUCAAGGUCAAAGAACCUUUCUCUUUUAAAAAGAGCGUGACAAGAUAGGAUAUUAUAACAAUGUAAUAAAAAUAAUUGAAACCCAAUCCAAGAUGUACAACAUAGGCUUCAAAAAAAUCACUUAAUGUCUCUGAGUCUGCUUCUAGUUUGUAGAUAGGCUUAUAGAGAACAGACUUUUGGUUGCCGAGGGGAGGGGCAAGGGAGUAGGAUGAAUGGGGAGUUUGAGGUUGUUAGAUGGAAAUUAAUACAUUUAGAAUGAAUAAGCAGUAAGGUCCUACUGUAAAGCACAGGGAACUAUAUCCAGUCUCUUGGGAUAGAACAUGGUGGAAGAUAAUAUGAGAAAAAGAAUGUAUAUAUGUAUGACUGGGUCACUAUGCUGUACAGCAGAAAUUGAUAUAACACUGUAAAUUAACUAUACGCUAAUAAAAAUUAAUUUUAAAAAACUGUCUGAAUGCACUAGAAAAAAGAAAAAGAAAAAAAUCUUAAAAGAAAGUUAUAAAGAUAAAAAUGACUCUCUGUGGAAAACAAAGUAAAACAAAGCAUAUUUGAAUUUUCAAGAAGAUGUAAAGAGGGAAAUAAAUCCCUAAAAUAAAGACUGUAAUCCACGCACUGAAAGACCAUACUAAAUCCUAAGAAAAAUGUAUUAUAAUACAUUUGAGUCUAAUGGAAGUGGAAUGAAAUCUAAGCUUAUCUUUUAUUGCUAGAAGUCCAUGUAUAUUGUCUGAAGUCUAAUUAGGUAGUUUAAAAGUGACGUGAAACUCUUACUAUUUAUCAAAAUUUUACCUGACCUUUACAGGGCUUAUUUAAAAAUAAUAUUUUAUCUGUUUAAGAAACAAUACUUGCAUUUUAACCAAUAUUUUCAGGGUACAGAAAAUUAUAUUGCUUCCGUUAAAUAUAAAUGAAUUUUAUUAGAAUAGUUUUUAAAUCUAAAAUGUAGCAUAAUUCAAAAUUUAAAUGUAGUUAACUUAUCUAUCUAUCUAUCUUAAUAUUUAUUUAGGGAGUUCCCAUUGUGGCUCAGCAGAAACUCAUCUGACUAGUAUCCAUGAGGAUGCAGGUGUGAUACCUGCCUUCACUCAGUGGGUCAGGGAUCUGGCAUUGCCAUGAACUGUGGUAUAGGUCGCACACACGACUCAGAUCCCAUGUUGCAGCUAUUGCUCUGAUUCAGCCCCAAACCUGGGAAUUUCCAUGUGCCAUGUGUGCAGCCCUAAAAAAAAAGAGGAAAAAAAAUUUAUUUAACCUACCUGCUUACUUGUCUUUCCUUUUAUCUGCAUACAUGAUUUGAGAAAUGAAUAGAAUUGUGUUCAUCCAUUGUUAGCUGUGGUGAUUUCAUAUGAUAGAAUACGGAAUCAACUUAAGAAAUGAAGUUUGAUUGCUUCUUUGUCCUGUUAGCUUUUUUAAUAUUAGCAUGCAUUAUGUGUAAAAACAUUUUACAAGUACAUAGUAUAUACUUUAUUAGGAUAUUUAAAAUAUCGAGCAAUUUCGACCUCACUCUAACUUUUUAAAAAAGUUAUUUUAGUAUUUCCCAGAGUGUGUAACACUUAUAUAAGAAGGUUAUAUGCAAAAACUCUUUUGUCAUAAAAUAAUUUGGGGACAUUAUAGUUGAUUUACAAUAUUGUGUU
Molecule: long non-coding RNA, 5807 nt
Filed under: Sus scrofa (pig)
Lineage: Eukaryota; Metazoa; Chordata; Mammalia; Artiodactyla; Suidae
Description: lncRNA (ENSSSCG00035046437.1)
Source: RNAcentral